AUUGAACGCUGGCGGCAGGCCUAACACAUGCAAGUCGAACGGUAGCACAGAGAGCUUGCUCUCGGGUGACGAGUGGCGGACGGGUGAGUAAUGUCAGGGAAACUGCCCGAUGGAGGGGGAUAACUACUGGAAACGGUAGCUAAUACCGCAUAAUGUCGCCCGACCACAGAGGGGGAGUAUCGGGCCUCUUGCCAUCGGAUGUGCCCAGAUGGGAUCAGCUGGUUGGUGAGGUAAUGGCACACCAAGCCGACGAUCCCUAGCUGGUCUGAGAGGAUGACCAGCCACACUGGAACUGAGCCACGGUCCAGACUCCUGCGGGAGUGUGCGGUCAGGAAUAUUGCCCAGUGCGCGCAGACCUGCUGCAGGCAUGCCGCGUGUAUCAAGAGGGCCUUCGGGUUGUAACGUACUUUCAGCGGUGAGGAAGGCAAUGCGGUUAGUAUCCGUGUUGAUUGACCUUCCCCGCACAAGAAGCACCGGCUAACUCCUUC
Molecule: ribosomal RNA, 488 nt
Filed under: uncultured bacterium
Lineage: Bacteria
Description: partial 16S ribosomal RNA
Rfam family: Bacterial small subunit ribosomal RNA
Source: RNAcentral